Molecule: long non-coding RNA, 1498 nt
Organism: Haplochromis burtoni (Burton's mouthbrooder)
Lineage: Eukaryota; Metazoa; Chordata; Actinopteri; Cichliformes; Cichlidae
Exons: 2
Source: RefSeq, a predicted model, not a curated record
AGGAGGAGUAUACUACUGUACAGAGUGAGCGGCUGAGUUAGGGUGUGUGUGUGUGAGAGAGAGAGAAAGAGAGGGAUAGGGAGAGCCAUGAAACACACAUACACACACACAUAUACACACACACACACACACACACACAGAGGGUGCAGAUAGCGGGAGGGGAAAACCUCCUCUCUGAAAGGGAUGAUGUCAGUCUCUGCAGCUGAGCCCCGGUCCCCGACUCGAAAGGGUGAAGACUGUUCUCCAGUACAAGACUACCAGCCAUAACAACAUCCACAAAGAGGGAGGAAGGGGGUGAGAACUGAGAAGAAAAGCAGGGAGAGUCUGGUGGAUGAUCCUCAUUCAGGUAAUACGGGGAAAAAUGCGAGGACCCCCCUCCUUGUAUUCUCUGUGUGUAUGCCACUGUGUAAUAUGGCUUUUUAUUCCUAUGUGAUGAUGAAAAGUGUUCAUGUAGGAACAGAAGCCAUUUUACACGUGGUGGUAGAGCAGCAUGACGGAAGCAUGAAACAAGCGGGAGCUCCUCGCUGCCUGCUUGCCAGUGCUCACGGAGACCAACAACAUAUGGUUGGAUAAAUGCAACUGUCUUCUUGCUGAAUAUUUCCCUGUAGUAAAGAUACAUUUAUGCUCGUCUCUCUGAUGAAAAGUGAGCUCAGCGAAGUGCUGAUUUGAAGACAAAAAUAUGGCGUCAGAGUUUGUUGUGUGUGCACCUGUUUUUGCCUCCAGGCACACGCACCUUCCACUGCUUCCAGUGUUUGAAGCAUGCGGUGACAGCUGCAGUCCGCAGGGAUGGAAGUAGGAACAUUUGCAAAACAUGUCAUGAACAAAAGAAGAAAAGAGCAAGGAGAGACCUGUACAGAUCUUUAAUAACCAACUAUAAAACAGGCACUUGGUGAGCCACUUUACAACUUGCAAGAGACACUGCAUUUCCCUUUCUUCUCAUUCGUAUUCAUUUUGCACAUUUUUAAAAUAAAACUUUUACACCACACAUUCAUCUACCUACAAUAUAAUACAAUGUAAGAUACAUACAGUAUAAACAAGAUAAAGCACCUUUGUUGUCCUAGUAAAUACUAUUAAGAAUUAAACACUUGGAGUUACAGAUUGAGUUUGUAAUUUGUGUGUGGUAUUUUCAGUGCAUGGGAAGAACUCCAAAUACAGGUCUUGGGACUUUGAUGUCCUUGUAUGCACCUGAGUUUAUACAAUGGAAGCUUUUCCUAAUUUUGUUUUCUGUCAGCCUACAUGUGAUUUACUUGGAUGGUUUACACAGUAUUAAUAAAAUACAGAGAGCCAGUAAAAACAGUCUGAUGUACGUUUGUAACUGCAUCUGCUACAGAUCUCAUGUUCCCUUCUGAGGACAUUGGCAUUCACAUUACAAUAAAAAAACACAAUGUAGCACCACGUAAUGUUUAUACAAAGGCUAAUACGAUGAAUGUCAAUGCAGUACAGUAAUGUAAAAAAAAAAAAAUAAUACAAAAUGACUAUGUAGGAAGUAUUUAUGAAA